RNAcentral lists this ribosomal RNA (253 nucleotides) under uncultured bacterium. Its description in RNAcentral is "partial 16S ribosomal RNA". It matches the Rfam family "Bacterial small subunit ribosomal RNA", at positions 524 to 776 of the family's 1533-position model. The record is from RNAcentral.
UACGAAGGGGGCUAGCGUUGCUCGGAAUUACUGGGCGUAAAGGGCGCGUAGGCGGACAGUUAAGUCAGAGGUGAAAGCCCAGGGCUCAACCCUGGAAUAGCCUUUGAUACUGGCUGUCUUGAGUGCGGGAGAGGUGUGUGGAACUCCGAGUGUAGAGGUGAAAUUCGUAGAUAUCGAGAGGAACACCGGUGGCGAAGGCGGCUUUCUGGACGGUUACUGACGCUGAGACGCGAAAGCGUGGGGAGCAAACAGG